RNAcentral lists this small nuclear RNA (144 nucleotides) under Propithecus coquereli (Coquerel's sifaka). RNAcentral describes it as "U2 spliceosomal RNA (ENSPCOG00000007874.1)". It matches the Rfam family "U2 spliceosomal RNA". From Rfam's summary of the family: U2 is a small nuclear RNA (snRNA) component of the spliceosome (involved in pre-mRNA splicing). Complementary binding between U2 snRNA (in an area lying towards the 5' end but 3' to hairpin I) and the branchpoint sequence (BPS) of the intron results the bulging out of an unpaired adenosine, on the BPS, which initiates a nucleophilic attack at the intronic 5' splice site, thus starting the first of two transesterification reactions that mediate splicing. The record is from RNAcentral. Lineage: Eukaryota; Metazoa; Chordata; Mammalia; Primates; Indriidae.
AUUGCUUCUCGGCCUUUUGGCUAAGAUCAAGUGUAGUAUCUGUUCUUAACAGUUUAAUAUCUGAUACGUCCUCUAACCGAGGACAAUAUAUUAAAUGGAUCUUUGGAGCAGGGAGAUGGAAAAAGAAAAAACAAUCAAACAAAC